Molecule: ribosomal RNA, 690 nt
Filed under: Flavobacterium sp. S102.07.P.RBT.MI.H.Gill.N
Lineage: Bacteria; Pseudomonadati; Bacteroidota; Flavobacteriia; Flavobacteriales; Flavobacteriaceae
Description: bacterial SSU rRNA
Rfam family: Bacterial small subunit ribosomal RNA
Source: RNAcentral
AGUCGAGGGGUAUUGUCUUCGGAUAUAGAGACCGGCGCACGGGUGCGUAACGCGUAUGCAAUCUACCUUUUACAGAGGGAUAGCCCAGAGAAAUUUGGAUUAAUACCUCAUAGUAUAGCUCUACCGCAUGGUAGUACUAUUAAAGUCACAACGGUAAAAGAUGAGCAUGCGUCCCAUUAGCUAGUUGGUAAGGUAACGGCUUACCAAGGCAACGAUGGGUAGGGGUCCUGAGAGGGAGAUCCCCCACACUGGUACUGAGACACGGACCAGACUCCUACGGGAGGCAGCAGUGAGGAAUAUUGGACAAUGGGCGCAAGCCUGAUCCAGCCAUGCCGCGUGCAGGAUGACGGUCCUAUGGAUUGUAAACUGCUUUUGUACGAGAAGAAACACUGCUUCGUGAAGCAGCUUGACGGUAUCGUAAGAAUAAGGAUCGGCUAACUCCGUGCCAGCAGCCGCGGUAAUACGGAGGAUCCAAGCGUUAUCCGGAAUCAUUGGGUUUAAAGGGUCCGUAGGCGGUUUAGUAAGUCAGUGGUGAAAGCCCAUCGCUCAACGGUGGAACGGCCAUUGAUACUGCUGAACUUGAAUUAUUAGGAAGUAACUAGAAUAUGUAGUGUAGCGGUGAAAUGCUUAGAGAUUACAUGGAAUACCAAUUGCNGAGGCAGGUUACUACUAAUUGAUUGACGCUGAUGG